UACGUAGGAUCCGAGCGUUGUCCGGAUUUACUGGGUGUAAAGGGCGUGUAGGUGGAUCGGCAAGUCGAUGGUGAAAUCCUGCGGCUUAACCGCAGAAUUGCCUUCGAAACUACCGAUCUUGAGUGCGGCAGAGGGAGACGGAAUUCAUGGUGUAGCGGUGAAAUGUGUAGAUAUCAUGAAGAACACCGGUUGCGAAGGCGGUCUCCUGGUCCGUUACUGACACUGAGGCGCGAAAGCGUGGGGAGCAAACAGG
This 253-nucleotide ribosomal RNA is filed under the name uncultured bacterium. Its description in RNAcentral is "partial 16S ribosomal RNA". It matches the Rfam family "Bacterial small subunit ribosomal RNA", at positions 524 to 776 of the family's 1533-position model. The record is from RNAcentral.